GACGAACGCUGGCGGCGUGCCUAAUACAUGCAAGUCGAACGAACGGAUUGAGGAGCUUGCUCUUCAUGAAGUUAGUGGCGGACGGGUGAGUAACACGUGGGUAACCUGCCCUUCAGUGGGGGAUAACAUCCGGAAACGGGUGCUAAUACCGCAUAGUUUUUAGUUCCGCAUGGAACUGAAAGAAAGACGGCUUUGCUGUCGCUUAUAGAUGGUCCCGCGGCGCAUUAGCUAGUUGGUGAGAUAAAAGCUCACCAAGGCUAUGAUGCGUAGCCGACCUGAGAGGGUAACCGGCCACACUGGGACUGAGACACGGCCCAG
This 318-nucleotide ribosomal RNA is filed under the name uncultured bacterium. RNAcentral's name for it is "bacterial SSU rRNA". It matches the Rfam family "Bacterial small subunit ribosomal RNA", at positions 28 to 334 of the family's 1533-position model. The record is from RNAcentral.